GAGACCGAAUGGAAAAAAGUUGAGAAGAAAAGAAGAAUAGGUGAGCACAAAAAUUUUAGCAGCAAGAAAAAAAUAAUGAAAAAGGAAAACCGCAGCAAAAAAGAAGAAGGGGAGAAGAGAAAAUCAAAAAUUCUAUUUUUGAAGAGAAAAAGAAGGAAAAAAUAUGAACAAAAUAAUUCGAUAAGAACCCCAAUAACCCCAAAAUCC
This 207-nucleotide long non-coding RNA is filed under the name Gossypium raimondii (Peruvian cotton). RNAcentral describes it as "long non-coding RNA (GRAI_LNC008111)". The record is from RNAcentral. Lineage: Eukaryota; Viridiplantae; Streptophyta; Magnoliopsida; Malvales; Malvaceae.